Non-coding RNA from Penaeus vannamei (Pacific white shrimp), 1203 nucleotides. NCBI's taxonomy places the organism in Eukaryota, Metazoa, Arthropoda, Malacostraca, Decapoda, Penaeidae. The record is from RefSeq and is a predicted model, not a curated record.
CAACGCAUGGCAGUUGCUUCACUAAUCAUUUGUCUGAUAUCGCUUCUUACCGAGACGACGAUUGAAAAAUAAUCCUCUUAAUAAUAAUCCCUUUCAUUUUUUUUCUUUUUGCUAAUACAUAUUUAUCAAUCCAUAAUCUCGCACUGAGGCAAUAUCUCAUUUUUCGUCCAGGCUAGCUCAGCCAGAGAAUCGAGACAUGUUCGGAAUGGUAAUCUCAUACACGGUGAAGGCGAAGCUGUACCUCGGUGCCAUGGGCGGGGAGGUCACCGCCGAGCUGCCCUUCGUCCUCAUGCAUCCCAAGCCCGACCUGCGCCGCAUGAUGCGCGCCGACAGCCAGGCGCAGGUGGAGUCCUUCCGCUCCGACAGCAUGGGCGCCUCCGUCGACAUGGACUAGACGCCCUUUCGACGCCACGACCAGCCCGGUGACGACCCCGAACUCAAUUCAAAGGACGACUGUCGAGGUGGAGGAGAAAGGCUGACCAGAAUUUCCCGCGAUUUCUAACGGCUUUUAGGACUGAUGUCGAAUUUAAGCUAGUCCUUAUUCUUUUCCUUCUUUUUCUUUAAUUUAUCUGUUUCCAUCUGCUUACCUUCAUAUCCCUUAAUUUCUGCUCACAGUGAAUACCGGAGAAAGUGAUCUUAAAGGAGUGCGUAAGCGAAUCCAGACCCUGAACGGCCACCAUGAAACCAAUGUCGCAUUUAAUUUUCAUUUUGUCAUUUUUUUAUAUUUGUUUGUGUCUACUUUCUGUUUACUUUCUUUCGGUUAAUCUCCGUUUACAAAGAAAAGAUAUAUGAAGAUGAAAACCAAAGAAAGUUUAUUGUGAUUAAUUGCCUGUGAGAAAAGCAAAGCCAUUUGGACUGUUGUGAUGUUUUUUUAAACGUAAGAUUUGUGGAAGCGGAUUCCAAAAUCUACCGGACAAAGGGACCGUUGGUAUAAAUUGAAAACAGUGAUAGAAAAUAAUGUGUAUUGCGGUUGAAAUGUUUGGAAUAAUGCAUCUUACUAAUUAGUGAGAAUAGGCAAACCGUAAAAGAAAAUGUGUUUAACGUCUCCGCAUCUGCCUAACCUAUCCGUGAUCAUAAUUUUGCAUUUUUAAUUUCAAUCAAUCUAUUCUGUCUUCGAAAAAUAUUAAGCAAACAUGUCAAAUUCACAUCUUAAACCAAUACUGUUCAAAUUAAGGUAGUUCCUUGAAUAAAGAGACAGCAAGA